CUCGAUUGGGCGCCCGUGCAGCACGUGAUCCGACUAGGCACGGGGCCGCGCUCCGGAGCGCGCCUGGUGGGCUGGCUGUCAGAGAGCGUAACGCAGGGGCGGGAAUCCCAGCGCUAAAGCGAGUCCCUGGUGCCCCCCCUCCCCCCUCCGGGCUUCUUUGCGGGCUUCACCCAUGCUGGGCUCGCUAGGGAUUUCUUCCAUAAAAAUUACUGAAAACAAAGGGACUUACACAUUAGUGAUGGAGGAAUUCAACAUUUUGCAGGAAAAGAAGGUGAUUUUUUUCUGGCAAGGUACAGCAGAAAAUGCAGUUUAAUCUUCCAAGCAGAUUCAAUCAUCCUUCAUUGGUGAUUUAUCAUACUCUUGCUAUCAGACAUCAGCUGAGUGUGUUCUUUUUGGAGGAGGAAAAGAUUGUUUUCUGAGAAUCAGCUGGCUGUAAAAACUUUA
Molecule: long non-coding RNA, 444 nt
Organism: Mauremys mutica (yellowpond turtle)
Lineage: Eukaryota; Metazoa; Chordata; Testudines; Geoemydidae
Exons: 3
Source: RefSeq, a predicted model, not a curated record